CCGCUCCAGGCUCCUCUCGCCGCUGGCCGUGCCCCGCCUGCGAGAUUCCCGCCAGCGCUUGCGGACCCGAAGGAAGACCUGCCAGGCCCGCAGCCCCCGCGCCCACCCGCAUCACCACCGCCAGCAGCCUGAGUGUGGCGGGUCCAUCAAUUCUCAUCCCGGAUCCCACCCACAACUUUCCCAAUCUUUUCGUCCUAAGUCAAAAGUUGUGUCUAUAACCAGCGCAGGAAUACAAAGAACCAAGUGGCAACAAGAGCUAAAAACAUAAAGAAAGAAAGGACCCCUGUGUUGAAUCCUAGUAAAUGUAAUGGAAACAAGCCCAGAGGCGGAAGAUGGCUUCUCUUCUCACCAUGGCACAGUCAUCGGCAGAGCCGGGAUUAGGGCUGGCUCUCAGAACUCUGUCUAGUGAUCAGAUGGUCAUCAGUCACCAACCACAACUGUCAGCAUCACACACACUGGACUUUACUGCUGCCCAAACAGCUGCACCAGCUACUGUUCUUGGUGUGGUAAAGCCCUCCAUGUAGCCGGCUCAGACUCUGCCACAGACACCUGUGUUCCCUCGCCUCCUUUUCAGAUGGCCGUUGAUAGGAUCAGAGAGCAUCAGCCCCACCUUUAAGUCUCAGCUUCCACUCCAGGGAACAGAUUCAACCUUUGAUGUCAGAAGCAAUGGCUUUGGAAAGAGAAGUGGGUACUAAGGAAGCAGGCAAAACCCUGGCAUUGCAGAGGCCUCUCAACCCCAAAGGAAAGUUGUCCCUCAUCUGUCAUCUAGAAACAACAGGAGCAAGCCCUGAAUCCCAAAGCCCCUUCACUCCAGCAGGGGCCUGGCCAGGGGCCACCGGGACCAGAAGAUGUGGUUUAGACAGUGCAUCGCUAAGGUCCCUUCCCAAUCUACAACCUGGGGCUAGCCCAGGAGCAGAUCCUGGAGCCAGGCAUGUGUCUUGGACAUGGGAGCCCCUUUCCAUUGGCAAACAGAUGGAUGUUGGUAACUGUCCUUUGGCCAAGACACCUGCAGACUUUGGCCCCAGGCCUGUUUUUCCGUAUAACGUCUAGCUGGAUACUUUGCAGACGGGGUGGGACUGGGUCUUACUGACUUGCCCCAGCCCAGUGUGCAGAGAGGCCAAGCUCUAUUUUUGUCAACCUGUGUACAUGUGAACAAUGGGUUUUCUUACUCAUGCAAACCCAACAGGAGGGGAAAAUGGUGAGAAAACCCGCGUUUCCUCUGACUCAUUUGACCAUCUAGGAGGAGGAGAUGGCAGGGGAGGAGGAAGUCAGACCAGGUUGUCUUUGACUUGGAUUGGGUGAGGGCAAGGAGGAAAAACUUCCCCUUCUUUCACCAUUGGUAACAUCAGGUGGCUGCAAACUCAAGAGCGCAAAUAACUCUCCUUUCCUAUAGAUGCCUCCUCUACACUCCUUGCCUCCUCCUGGCCCAGGUACCUGUGGCUCUGGCUUUUACAAGUUGGUGGUAAAGCAGUAGUUCCCAAAAUGCACACUCAACUCACUUGGAGAACGUACAAAAGGUCAAAGCCUAGGUCACAAUUGAAUCCAAAUACCUAGGGUGGGAGCCAGGUGUAGGCAGUGUUUAAAGAUCCCAGGUAUUUCUGAGAUAAGCAAGUUUAGAAACUCCUUUGCGAAAGGCGGGGCUGACCACGGUGGGAGCCAGGGCCGCCACAGGUGAAGGCAUCACUUGUUCAUCCAUCCACCCACCCAUCCAUCCACCCAUCCAUCCACAAAUAUUCAGUGAUGAUCUCUCUGUGCCAGACUCUGUUCCAGGUCUUGGAGAUACAGCUAUGAAUAAGAAAGCCUCAGUUCUCCUGGAGCUCACAUUCCCCUGGGGCAGUCAGACAACAAAUAAAUGAAUCAACGAUACAUAUGGCCCGGGCUAUGAAGAAAGCCAAAGCAGGGUCCUCCCUCCUGUUCCUCGAGGCGCCUUCUGCCCAGCUCUUUCCCUGAAGCAAUGUCUUCAGGGCAGCACCUGGCAUCCUCUGCACCCAGUGCUCCUGACUCCAACUUGUGUGAGCAACAACACCUGACUCAGGGCCCGCCCAAGGCAAGGGAUCCACCAGGUAUUGUUUAUGAGCAGCCGACAAGAUGGAUAUUAGGCUUGUGGGGUGUCUGAGAGGUCCAUGGAACUGGAGGGAACACUAAACUAAGUUUUAGAAGACUUCCAGAAGACCUAGAGUUAAGGCCUGGCUCUGCCACUUUCUGGCAAAGGGGACGUCAAUUCACCUUGCCAAGUCUCCGUUUCCUCUUCAGUCGAAUGGGGAGAGUGUGACCAACUUUGUAAG
Long non-coding RNA from Canis lupus familiaris (dog), 2285 nucleotides. RefSeq lists it as uncharacterized. Lineage: Eukaryota; Metazoa; Chordata; Mammalia; Carnivora; Canidae. The record is from RefSeq and is a predicted model, not a curated record. The transcript is spliced from 3 exons.